Molecule: ribosomal RNA, 510 nt
Filed under: uncultured bacterium
Lineage: Bacteria
Description: bacterial SSU rRNA
Rfam family: Bacterial small subunit ribosomal RNA
Source: RNAcentral
AGUAAAUAGAUACCCGGGUAGUCCACGCCCUAAACCAUGCGCGCUGGAUCACGGCGGCUCUGACGUCGUCGGGAUCGCAGAGAAAUUGCUAAGCGCGCCGCCUGGGGAGUACGGUCGCAAGGCUAAAACUCAAAGAAAUUGACGGGGGCUCACACAAGCGGUGGAGCAUGUGGCUCAAUUCGAAGCAACGCGAAGAACCUUACCUGGGUUUGACAUGCAUGGAUUAGCUCCUGGAAACAGGAGUGACAAUCGCAAGAUCGGAACAUGCACAGGUGCUGCAUGGCUGUCGUCAGCUCGCGCUGUGAAGCGUCGGGUUAAGUCCUCUAACGAGCGCAACCCCUGCCGCUAGUUACCAUCGGGUUAUGCCGGGGACUCUAGCGGGACUGCCGGUGUCAAACCGGAGGAAGGCGGGGAUGACGUCAAGUCCUCAUGGCCCUUACAUCCAGGGUUGCACACGUGCUACAAUGGUGCAUACAAAGCGACGCGAGACCGCGAGGUGGAGCAAAUCGC